RNAcentral lists this ribosomal RNA (497 nucleotides) under uncultured bacterium. RNAcentral's name for it is "partial 16S ribosomal RNA". It matches the Rfam family "Bacterial small subunit ribosomal RNA", at positions 28 to 507 of the family's 1533-position model. The record is from RNAcentral.
GACGAACGCUGGCGGCGUGCCUAAUACAUGCAAGUCGAGCGCUGAAGGUUGGUACUUGUACCAACUGGAUGAGCAGCGAACGGGUGAGUAACGCGUGGGGAAUCUGCCUUUGAGCGGGGGACAACAUUUGGAAACGAAUGCUAAUACCGCAUAAAAACUUUAAACACAUGUUUUAAGUUUGAAAGAUGCAAUUGCAUCACUCAAAGAUGAUCCCGCGUUGUAUUAGCUAGUUGGUGAGGUAAAGGCUCACCAAGGCGAUGGUACAUAGCCGACCUGAGAGGGUGGACGGCCACCAUGGGACUGAGGAACGGCCCAAACCUCCACGGGAAGGAGCAGGAGGGGAACUUUGGGAAAUGACGGAAGUCUUACCGAAGAACGCCGCGGGAGUGGAGAAGGGUUUCGGGUCGGAAAACUCUGUUGGUAGAGAAGAACGAUGGUGAGAGUGGAAAGCUCAUCAAGUGACGGUAACUACCCAGAAAGCGACGGCUAACUACGUG